This 445-nucleotide ribosomal RNA is filed under the name uncultured bacterium. Its description in RNAcentral is "partial 16S ribosomal RNA". It matches the Rfam family "Bacterial small subunit ribosomal RNA", at positions 354 to 796 of the family's 1533-position model. The record is from RNAcentral.
GUGAGGAAUAUUGGUCAAUGGGCGGGAGCCUGAACCAGCCAAGUCGCGUGAAGGAAGAAGGAUCUAUGGUUCGUAAACUUCUUUUGCAGGGGAAUAAAGUGCAGGACGUGUCCUGUUUUGUAUGUACCCUGAGAAUAAGGAUCGGCUAACUCCGUGCCAGCAGCCGCGGUAAUACGGAGGAUCCGAGCGUUAUCCGGAGUUAUUGGGUUUAAAGGGUGCGUAGGUGGUUUGAUAAGUCAGCGGUGAAAGUUUGCAGCUUAACUGUAAAAAUGCCGUUGAAACUGUCGGACUUGAGUGUAAAUGAGGUAGGCGGAAUGCGUGGUGUAGCGGUGAAAUGCAUAGAUAUCACGCAGAACUCCGAUUGCGAAGGCAGCUUACUAAGCUACAACUGACACUGAAGCACGAAAGCGUGGGGAUCAAACAGGAUUAGAUACCCUGGUAGUCC